RNAcentral lists this long non-coding RNA (866 nucleotides) under Homo sapiens (human). RNAcentral describes it as "HSALNT0363339". The record is from RNAcentral. Lineage: Eukaryota; Metazoa; Chordata; Mammalia; Primates; Hominidae.
CUCGCCGAGGACGAAGAGGCUGGCGUGCCCGGUGGCUCGGCUAGCUCCCGGGUCCCGGCCCCGCCUGGAGGAUGCGGCUGUGGGGGAAUGGGAGCGGCCGGACCUCCCAGCCUGACAGUGCAUCAAGAGCUUUGCGGAGCCUACAGCCCGGAUGGGACGACUGAGGCCCUCCCGCUGGCGAGCUGGCCGAGGGCUCGUCCCUCUCCAGCUAAAGCGCCAGCUUACGAUACAGCCAAACUGCCGGCUCUCAUCGGCUGUGGGAGCAGGAGGCCCCCAGGGGUAAAUCCCGGAGCCUCGUCUCUGAAGCCUGGCGCUUGUGUCUCAGAAGAUGGAGUUCCUCUCUUGUGGCCCAGGCUGGAGUGCAAUAGCACCAUCUCGGCUCACUGCAACCUCUGCCUCCCAGGUUCAAGUGAUUCUCCUGCCUUAGCCUCCUGAGUAGCUAGGAUUACAGAUUUAUAGGAGCAUUGUGACUGGACCAAGGACAAAGAAGUUCCCAACCUCCUCAGACCCUCGCUGCUGCCCAGAUGUCUGCCAUGGGGUGGCCAUCAUCGAAUCCACUGAGGGCGCAAAUAGAACAAAAAGGUGAAGAAAAGGUGAAUUCUCUCCUUUCUUGAGCUGGGACAUCCAACUUCUCAGACAUCAGAGCUCCUGGAGGCCUUCAGACUCCGAGACAUUACACCAUUGGCUCACCUGGUCCUCAGGUCUUUGGACUUGGAAUGAAUUACACCAUUGGCUUUCCAGGUCUUCCAGCUUGCAGAUGGCAGAUUGUGGGACUUUUCAGCCUCCAUAACUUUGUCAUCCAAUUCCCAUAAUAAAUCGCCUCUUAUAUCUGUAUCUGUUUGGUUCUGUUCUGGAGAUCCCGGAUU